This 68-nucleotide transfer RNA is filed under the name Marmota monax (woodchuck). RNAcentral's name for it is "tRNA.Ala". Lineage: Eukaryota; Metazoa; Chordata; Mammalia; Rodentia; Sciuridae. The record is from RNAcentral.
GGAUUGUGGCUCAGUGGCAGAGCACUUGCCUAGCACAUGUGAGGCACUGGGUUCAAUCCUCAGCACCA